AUAGGAAAAAAAUUUAAAAAA
RNAcentral lists this non-coding RNA (21 nucleotides) under Caenorhabditis elegans. The record is from RNAcentral. Lineage: Eukaryota; Metazoa; Nematoda; Chromadorea; Rhabditida; Rhabditidae.